RNAcentral lists this long non-coding RNA (1341 nucleotides) under Pan troglodytes (chimpanzee). RNAcentral describes it as "long non-coding RNA NONPTRT007145". Lineage: Eukaryota; Metazoa; Chordata; Mammalia; Primates; Hominidae. The record is from RNAcentral.
GGCCAGGCUGGUCUCGAACUCGCCUUGGUCUCCCAAAGUGCUGGGAUUACAGGUAGAGACAGGAUUUUACCAUGUUGGCAAAGGCUGGUCUCCACCCGCCUUGGCCUCCCAAAGUGCUGGGAUUACAGGUGUGAGCCACCGUGCCCAGCCACCCCAAGCCUUUCUGGUGAACCAGCCAGGCCUCUGGGCUGGGCUCUGGAGCCUCAGGAAGUCCCUUCAGGUGUCUGAUGUCCAGUCCGCUCCCUCUUGGUUCUUGGUUCCCCCUGUGUUCCUGCUGCUGUUCUUGAAGGAUGCGUGUGUGCCGGUCUGCUGUGCAUGUGUGUAUCUGCAUGUCUGUGAUGCAUGCGCAUGCGUCUGUAUGUGCGUUGUGUGUGCAGGACUUUGAUUCUGUGCAACUCUGUGCAUAUCUAUGUGUCUACAUAAGUGUGCACAUGUGUACUCAUUUGUGUGUGUGUAUCUGUGUGUCUGCAUAUUUGCACAUGCUUGUCUGUAUGUUUGUGGUAUGUUCCGUCUACAUGAGUGUAUGUGGCUGGGGCUGUGUCUGCAUAAGUAUGUGUCUAUCUGGGAGUGCAUAUAUGUGUGCAUGUGUGUGUGUGAGAUUGUGCAUGAGCUAAGACAACGACAGGCACUUCCUGGGCAGGAAGGCUGUAUCCAGGGUCCUGCACAUAGUAGGUGCUCAGUGAACAUUUGCUGAACUCAGCUGAACUGAACUGAAUGAACUUGCUUCAGUGAGUUAUUUUCCCAAGGGCAAAGACAUUAUGAGGGGACUGAGGGGAAAGGAAAGAAGGAAAAAGCUAUUGGGCUGAUGAAGGUGGGAGAGUAAGGAAGGGGUGAGGAGGAGGUCAUGGGCAGGGAGGAUGCCUGGCAACCCUAGGGCAAAAGACCCCUUCUGGUGCCCCUCCGGUCCUGUGGGCUGCAGGAGGUGGUGCAAACAGCCAGAAGUGUCAGCCACACGGGCGCUCAGCCUGGCCUCUCUGUCUCCCACAGCUGCCACUGGGCCCAAGGGAUGGGUGCUCUCCUAGGCGCCCCUUCCCCUGGCAGGGGCCGAGGACGCUGCUGCUGUACAAAAGUCCCCAGGACGGCUUUGGCUUCACUCUGCGCCACUUCAUCGUGUACCCACCCGAGUCGGCCGUGCACUGCAGCCUGAAGGAGGAAGAGAAUGGAGGCCGCGGAGGAGGACCCUCCCCCCGGCACCGCCUGGAGCCCAUGGACACCAUCUUUGUCAAGAAUGUGAAGGAAGACGGCCCUGCCCAUAGGGCGGGGCUUCGCACAGGAGACCGGCUGGUAAAGGUGAAUGGGGAAAGCGUCAUUGGGAAGACCUACUCUCAGGUCAUAGCUCUG